Molecule: ribosomal RNA, 366 nt
Filed under: Chorebus sp. 1 HX-2019
Lineage: Eukaryota; Metazoa; Arthropoda; Insecta; Hymenoptera; Braconidae
Description: partial large subunit ribosomal RNA
Source: RNAcentral
GGCUGCAGAAAUUUUAACUGUACAAAGGUAGCAUAAUAAUUUGUUUUUUAAUUAAAAACUAGAAUGAAUGAUUAAAUGAAAUAUAAACUGUUUCAAUUAAAAUAAUAUUAAAAUUUUUAUUUAAGUUAAAAAACUUAAAUAUAUUUAAAAGACGACAAGACCCUAUAGAAUUUUAUUUAUAUUUUAAAUAAAAAUAUUUAUUUAUUUAUUAAAUUUUUUAUAAUAAAUUUAAUUGGGGUAAUUUUAAAAUUAAAAAAAUUUUUUUUAUAAAAAACAUUAAUUAAUGAAUAUUAUAUCUUAAAUUUUAAAUUAUUAAAAUUAAUUACCUUAGGGAUAACAGCAUAAUUUUUUUUAAAAGACCUUAUU